This is a long non-coding RNA of Cephus cinctus (wheat stem sawfly), 1433 nucleotides long. RefSeq lists it as uncharacterized. NCBI's taxonomy places the organism in Eukaryota, Metazoa, Arthropoda, Insecta, Hymenoptera, Cephidae. The transcript has 3 exons. The record is from RefSeq and is a predicted model, not a curated record.
GCUUAAAGGAAGCAUUACGCGAGAGCAGACAUGCAAGAUGGUAGUGGCUGGAUAGAUAAAGGUACUAAGGACUAUUAUUAGAUGUAUAUAGCACCAGAAAGCCCAACCCUGAUCAACCUUCUUCAGGAACAUCCUAUACAGAGUACAGAAGUGAGAAGAUGCAGAAGAAGAAGAUGAAAAAGGAGGAACAAUAAAAAAGAAGUAAAAUAAGAGAAGAUGAGAAAAUAUAAAAAUGUCAAGCAUCCCUGGCAGCUGUUAGAGAAUCUUUACGUUCACGAAGGUAUCGCCAUGUUUCGCCUAGCAAUUUACGACUUCGCUCGUACCAACUUCUCUCGGGCUGUUCUCUCCCUCCACGAACUCUCCUACACUCGUAACUCGUAUAUCGCACCAAGCUACAGGUGCUUUAUGCUUUAUGCUUUAUCGUUUAUCACCCAUUCGCUGCUUGGGACAUUGAUGUAUGUUAUCGCCGAGUAAAAGAAAAGACUAUGAGAAUAUAAAGCACAAGGCAUUUUUAAGGAACAAGAAGAAGAAAGGAUUUCAAGGUUAGCCUUACAGAUCUCUAAAAGUGGAUAUUAUCCCUAGACUGCAAUGGCUGAACUCUCAAGGACUUGAAGGUUAAUCCAGUCGUUGCUUGGUACUACUGGUGGUAGCAACAGCAGCAGCAACAGCAGCAGCAACUGCAGCAGCGCAGCAGUUAUGGCGAUGCUGAUGGUAUUGCUGCUUACUUUUUGGAAUAUCUUGAAGCCAGGGAGAAAAUCGAUGCUACCGUCGGCGCUCACCUACCGUGGCAUAAUCGCCAUGCGGAUUUCUGAAGCGUCUCAGGAUCCAGCCUCUCGAGUUCACCUUCAGCCACUUUAAUUGGCGAGUGCAUUUGCGAUUCUGGUUGCUUGCUCCCCCGCGUUUCAUCCUUGAUAUGCACUGGUGCAUCCCACGUAGAGCUCGAUAUUUUUGAUAUUUACAUUAUACGGAUACUCUACGUCUUUUAUUGCCUGUGGACCAAACCCCAGGCGAAAUCUCUAACGAAUCUUUUAUUUACGGCAAACAAUUGGAAGAAGUCGUGUGUAAUAUAACACUAUUCUUCUAUUAACCAUUAAUGGUAAAACACAGUAACAGAGAAAACACUACUAGAAUAAGAGCUUUGAACAAUUUGAGCGAUAACGUAUAAUCAAUGAUAUGCGGAUGUACAAUAAAAAGAAUUUAAUAUAGAUUAAUGCCGUUUAAGACCAAUUACUAAAUUUCGCUAACGCACGCACCUUAUGUAUAAAAAUAUAUUAACAUAGAGAAUCGUUGUGACAAUUUUUUGUAUUUACGUGAUCGAGAUAACCAGCCGUAGCCAGGAAGCUUCCAAUAUACAGCACCUCGUGUGUUUCCAGUAUGCAAUUUGCUUCUAAUAAAAAUCCAAGCCGAAUAAAAGACUCCUACGUUGACCACGG